Molecule: long non-coding RNA, 9206 nt
Organism: Betta splendens (Siamese fighting fish)
Lineage: Eukaryota; Metazoa; Chordata; Actinopteri; Anabantiformes; Osphronemidae
Exons: 6
Source: RefSeq, a predicted model, not a curated record
AAGGCUUAUGGCCUCCAUCUUAGAACCUCCACUUUACUUUCGGUUUUGCGUGUAGCGAGUUGUGCCUCAUAGAAGAGGAGAAAAAUAUUCUUCGCUCAGAAGUUGGAGCAGAACCCUUUUCGGACCAUUGUGGACGUACCGCGUGCUUUGGACCGAAACGUUUUUUUGGAUUACAUUCGCUGGAUUAUAACAAACAGAAUGAGACCGCACUCGACGUGACUGAGCGACGUUUGGGGCUCAGCAGUCGUCAAAAAUGAUGAACGUAACACAAACCAGCGGAGUCGAGUGGCGCGCAUCGCCUUCGUCAGAUUUGCCUUCGUGCUCCUGCUCCUCCUCAUGAAGAAGGAGGUCACCAUCUGCGAGGCGGUGCAGCCAAGUCACACUCUGAAUCUAUUAAUCAGAGCUGCGUUGGAACAGACAACUGCGAGACGCCAUAAUUUCAUCUGUAAACUCAGACACAAUGAGCUGAUACAGAAAAGGCCAGUGAGGAGGAAAAACCAGAGCUACAUCCAAAACAUCUGUAUCACAGGCGUUUCCAACAAGUGAGUCCUGCUCAGGUCGUGCAGCCAGUCAAUAUUUAACCACGGAAGCAGGGUUGGAAGCGUUUACAGGAAGCCGAGCUGGUGUGGUCGUAUCGAUCCACAACAAGGGUUAGUUUGUUUUCGCUAAGCAAAUAUUUUUAGCCCCACGCUCUCGUAUGUGCUGUUUGUUUGUGAGCUGUCACGGCUGCUGUUCACCGCGUUUAUUGCUUUCUGGCAUUAUUUGAUUUCACUCAAGUUUUUUUUUUUACUUUAUCUUGCCUUCUGCGUCUGUUCCUCUUUUCUCAUUCCCGCCUCCCUCUGCAGGAUGAUGGAUGCUUCGAGUCAUGAGCUCUCCCCUGCCUCUCAUCCGCGCUGCUGUACAGCGUCUCAGCACCGUUUGCUCUGCUCCCUGUUGUUCUCCUUCAUUUUGUCUUCCUCCCUGCGUCUGCUUUGUUUCCUCUUUAUGCUUUUCCGUCACCGCUCCCUCGCACGCCUCCAGUGAUGGAUGCCGCAUCAUCAGAGUUAUCGCAGGGCUCUGAGGCCUGUGCUGCCAGAGGACCUGGAGGACAGCGGCCAAGCCAAACUUCCCAACGAGGCGCUCGUUAAACUCAUCAUGGGAAACUAAUGAGGAUGAAUUUGGAGGCUGAAUGUGCCUUUGCACCAGGGGAACGCGGGGCCUGCUCUGUCUUCAAUCCUUACAUUUAGGCCUGUUGUUCUGCGAAGUCUCAUCAGGCGUCUGUCCCAUCAGCUCCAUGUUUCUGCUGGACUAAAACACACGUGCAGCAGGAAGGAGCUGAUGGAGACUUAAAAGCUUCACCCUUCGCCGUCCAUGACUCGCAUACCUGAUCUUGUGUAGUGACCGCUAAACAACAACAUUUCCCAUGAGCUCCAAGCGUUUGCUGACUAAAAGUCAUGACUCAUGGCAGGAGCGAGUUCAGGAGCGAGUCAGCGGGUCACAGCGAGUUCAGGUCUGAAUGUGGCGGCUUUAAAAAGCAGACGUGUCGGUGCGGCUUCAUGCAGGAGCGACACGAUCCACAGCUUCAGUCAGGAACUGAAAUGGAACCAGCGCAGACGCGUUCUGCUGCUCCGUUUGUUUAUGCACCUGCAUCUUUAUUAGGGUUCAGUCAGAAAUGCAGCAAAAAGGAGGAAGCGCAGAGAUUCCAAAGCUCUUUACACCAGCUGAUACGUGCCUUUCUUCAUUACUUUGGCUAAUUUGGAUUCACAAUGGUGCAGGAACUAUCAGCCCAUCUGUGUCAUUUAAUUAUGGGCGUAUGAAAUGAGAGUUUUUCCUCCUGUUCUCCUUUAAUGUUUCCUGGAAUUGAUAAGAGAGGGAACUCAUCACAUUACAUUUCAGAGCUGUGAUCCUCAUUUGUUGCGGCUCACUCACGCUAAUGGGCCUCAUCAGCGUCGCAGGCAGAUACUCGACUAUUAGCCGAGAAGAAAAAGAAGUCAUAAUGGGAAACACGGGCGCGGGGGGAGGAGGGAAUGUCACGUUUCCUCCCGCUGCUCUGUUGGGAUUGAUGAGUGUCUUAUGGCUGCACAUGAUCCCAGCUCCGGCUGUAGAUCUGGGCUAACCAGUACUGACGGGGAUGAGUCCACAGAACUGACUGAGUCUCUGUCCCAUCGGUGCGUCUCCUUCACGUCAUGGACGACUCAGACACUGUGUGAAACCUAAACCCGCUCGGUGGGUUGUUUUGGACCGCGCUGUUUGUCUCAGCUGGUGCUUUUUCAGCAGCGAUAACGAGGAGACGCAUGUCCUUUCAGCCACAUGCACAGACACUGGUGGCGCUCAGCGUUCAGCAGACGAGACCGCUGCCCCGGAAAAACAAACGCAGACCGUGGAUGAACGUCUGGGACGAGCCCCGAAUCCCUGACUUCUGCUUGUUGAACACUGGACCACGCCAGCGGCUGCGACGGCCCGAGGCGGCGCUCGGUACUAACAUCUGCAGGCACGCGGCCCAUCGAUGCCAUAUGUUCUGUAAGCAGAGUCGGAAAAAAGAAGACUGCUGUAAAACUAAGUGGAAGCAAAUUAGCACAAAUUAACAACAGGACAUUGAUUUUUAGCUCUUAAAGGUUAAUGUGGUUUGUGACUCUUAGUCUGACAGACUGUCCAGGGAGAGAGAGAGAGAGAGCGAGCGAGCGUCAGACAAAGGGAAACAGGCGCAAAGCAGGAGGAGGAGAAAGUCCCAGUGUAGUAACACAUGCUGGAGCCAGUGGGAGAGACGUACCAACUUAUCUAAUUAUAGUCCUAGUAAUGAAACACCACGAGACGCACGCUUUAUUCAGGGAGACACAGAUUCCUGGUUUUCCCUGUGUCACAUAUUUAUUGAGCACUUUUUACUUCAGUUGCUCAGUUCUGGAUCUCUGUUUCCUGGGUUUCCUCUUCAUUUGUUUUGUUCCUGUGCAGGACUAGGUCGGACUCCUGCUGUGAUCUGUAGCCGCUCCACGAUCAGCUGGAUCGGACUCUGAUGGUCCGGAUCAGGUUCUGCCUCACACAGGCAGACGCUGCUGAGUCGCAGUAGGUCUGGUUUGAGUCUGCGUCCAACGAAGGCGCCGUUUACCUUCACAGCUCAGCACAACUUUUGCUCCUGAGACGUUAGACUGACCGUGAUGGAGGAAAUAAAAUCUCCCAUCAUCGGUUUUGUUCUUUAAUGAAUCAUUACUUGACGGGAUCCAAAUUACGAUUCCCAGUCAAUACUCUUCUCUUUCACAAUUAAUAGUUCUUGUUUCUCUGUGGUUAAUAAGCAGCCAGAUCUAAAACGUCCAGCUUCAAACAGCAGUGGCUGAAUAUUACAGGUCACUAAGUCCCACUUUCCAGCAUCAAACCCGUGAAGUGCCUUCCACUCGCCUGACACCGGAUCAGUUCCAGGAGUCCAACCUGCCUCGUGCCGCAGCGUUGAUUUGAUGACGGUGCUGCGACGGUCCGGUUCUUUAUUUUCUCCUGGAGCCACUUAGGGGUGAGUGACAGCCGCGAUGCUGCUGGCGCAGCUCUCCCGCUGGUUCCCUAAAUUAAAGUGAGGUGAUACAUACUGUACGGCUGCACGUCGCGGUCGCUGCCGCCGCCUCCAGGGGAAGAGGAAUAGAGGUUUCACUACAGCCGGCUAAAGAAGACCAUGUAAUAUCGGCUUGAAAUACUCACUUCUCAUCAGAUUAAAUCUCUCGUCUAUUUGGAGGAAGCUGUUUCCUCCUUAACUGCAGCUCUGAAACCGAACCCCAGCAGCUGAAGACAGCUGAGGACAGUGAUGAAGUGAAGCCGCCGGCUUCAUAUCGUGACCAUCAUGAACAAAUGGUGGGUUCCUGCUGCCUGAGACCUGAAGGAACCCCCUGAAGGUAACGGCCUAGACUCCAUGUGUUGAUCUCCAGUGUGUGUUUGUCGCAUGUUUAAACUGUACGUGUGGCCUUUUUACCACAGGACUGGAAGUAAUGUUGUUCAUAGAGAAAAGACUACUCCUAAACCUGCUGGAUUUAUGCAUAUGCAACUCAUCUGCCUCUGAGUCUGCAGGCACAGGAUAAAAGCCCGGUUUAAAACAGCAGCUCAGUGUUUGCAUUUGGAGCGAACCUGAAGCUGGGCUGUUUUUUCUCACUGACUAUUUUUGAAGACUCAUCAUGUAACAGGCCCCGGCACAUUAACAGCCUGACCUUCGCUUCGGCGGGUAAUGAGAGUGAAAACCAAGCAAACAGCUUUCAGCUCCUUCCUCCUCCCAGUGAGACUCGUCUCCGCUCGGGCAGGAGGUGGAGGAGAAACGAUGGGGAAGCUGCUAACUGCUCAUUAUGGAGGAAGCCAGAAGGAACAGAUUUAGGAAGAGACAGGCCGAGUCCCCGUUCUCCUCUCGUCCCUGCGCUCCUCCUCCCGCUUAGCCAAGAUUUUACAAAGAUGAGAUCUGUAAAAGUGGGGGAAUCAUAUUAAGCUUUCCUCUGGGGUUGUGUUGAGCUGCCUGGGCUUCAGCGAGGUGAGCCGGCAGGACGGCGCUCGCCUGGGGGCUUCAACCUGCACCGAGGGCCGUGUGUCCGACAGAGAGGCGGCGUGUGUUUACUGGUUAGAGCUGUGGCAGCGUCGGGGACGGGGGUUUAGGCCCAGGGUCUCUGCUCCCUCCACAACACGUAGGAAGCUCUGAUAGAUGAGGUCACUGAUGGUGGUGUUUCCGGGCAUUUUGCCCAGUGCAUGCUGGGAUAUGCUGGGUUAAGAACAACACCUAAUUCUGCAGUUUGUUUCCAAUAAGCACAGCAGCAGUAAUAAUGCUGACGCAGCCAGUUCGCUGAGAUGAAGUCAGGAUGGGACAUAAUGCAGCGCGUCACAGCUUCACCCGUCUUUAAAUGAUAAAUGAGUGAAUCAAAACAGGAAAGCAAAGAAAGAAAACUCGAUGAAGAUGCUCAAAUACGGAGGAAAAUGAGGAGGAGGAGCGGAAGCAGCUGCCACGCGCUCAGCGGCCGCGUCUGCGUCGUUACAUAUCGGCAUGUGCCAAAACUCAAUCAUAUUAAUUAACCUCUUUAAUUUAGCUCCAGUUGUUACUGUAGGCCUGUCGAUGGUUCUAAUCAAUGCUCGCAUAAUUAGCUGAAAACCGAACCAGUGCAGCUCACGCUGCCUCCAGCUGAUGGAGGUUCCCAGCGCCUCAUGCUCAACAUUAAUAUUCCUAAUCCCCAGCGUUUUCCCCACAGGACCGUGUUUUCUUGGAGGGUCGAUGAACGUCCAAUGAGGGGUAAUAGCUGGGGUUAAUUGCUCAAACAAAAAGGUCGGGUCGAUCCGUGGCGGGAGGAGAGGUUGUGGCGCCGAGGCCCUAGAACGGAGGCACAGGCCAGGUCCACACAGCCGGGACCCAACGGCCACCAUCACUGAGCUAUGAGCUCCACAUGACGCUAUGGCUCAGCUCCACCUGCUGAAGGAGGGGAGGAUUCAUGGAUGCUGCUGCUCAUCAGAGGAAACCCUCAAGGGUGAGUGCUCAACUAAACCUCCCACUCCAGGAUUCCCCUCAAGAAAUCAGGCAAGUGCACAGCAGGGGGGAGUUUGGCGCUCUGUCUUUACCACUAGUUUCUGUUAGUCUUCGUCUGCCGCCGCUGCUGAGACUCCAGUGAAGCCGGACGCUUUCCUUCAUUUUCUGCAGAAGAAAACCAACCAUGUUGAACUCAUCAUUACCUGAGGACGGGCAGCGCGGGGGUGCAGUGGGUAGCACUCGCUUCACUGCGUAGAGUUUGCAUGUUCUCCCCAUGUUCGCGUGGGUUCUUCCUCCCACGGUCCAAAAACCUGCAUUGGGUUGAUUGGUGCCUCUGAAUUUCCGUAGCUGUGAGUGUGAAUGGUUGUGUGUCUGUGUGUUGACUGCGACGGACUGGCCUCCUGUCCAGCUGUACCCUGCCUCUCGCAGACAGCUGGGAUGGGCUCCAGCACCACCUGCGACCCCGGAGCGGUAGAAAAUGGAUGGAUGGACGUUAUGGACGUUAUGAGGACGGAGCAUGUUCUUCUGGGGCAUGAAGACUAAUGUGGACAACACAAAGAGGAGCCAGCUCGUAUUGGACCACGUGUGUGACGGCUGCUUGUACUUCACGUUGUCAGAACAUCCAUCAUCACAUCCACUCAAAGGAGCUUUGACUACAGCACAUGAUUAAUGUUGGACAACGAUCCGAUCUGCCCUGUUGGAGAUAAAGAGUCUUGGUUUUGUUCCUGAUGACGGCUGCAUGUGAACAAUCACCGUGUGUAGAAAAACCCAACUGGUUCUGGAAGAUGGAGAGUUCUGAGCAGAGAUUUCUGGUCCUGGAACAAGCAUCUUAAUUAUUUACUCCUGCAUGAAUGCAGGAGAUAAGGAGCUGGAGACAGUAUGAAAAAUAAAGCAGAGGAGUGAGUUCACUGAAAGGCUACUGUCAUAACUCAACGCGUGCUGCUGCUCCGUCUGAAGCCGGCGCUCCUUUAUUCGCCUGCAGGGUCAUUUCUCAUAUGGUCAUUCUCUGCUUAUCAUGGCAGCUUCACCAUGAAAUGGUCUUCGCUAAUUGAAAGUCCAGGAAGAUGUCGAGCUGUGUGUCACCGCAGUGAGCGUUGGCUUAAUAAUCACAUGGAUGGAAAUGAAUCACAAGCAGGUGAUUUAACAGAACCUGUUGGUUGCACCCAUUUAUUGCAGGGUGGAUGGACAGAACCCGAUCCUCUCUGUCUGCAGCUGCCAGCUUCACUGAUGAACUCGCUCCCCCAGAUGUUUCCUAAUUAAUCGCUGAGGCCACGGGUUCUGGAGCUCUGCUCAGGUUCCUCAUCAAAGAGCGUCGGCAGCAGCCGAGCAGGAAGAACCUGUCGUCAGACGCUUUCUGAGGAGCGGAAGCGUUCAGCGACGGAUCUCUACCUCUUUAUACAGACGCUGUGAAAACGCUGUGAAACUUUCCUCCAACUUGCACAUUGAUCCCUAAUGAACAUGCUCCUAUUACUGCCUCAGGAACGCAGCGUGUUACCGUUGUUUGGCUGUUGACUGAUGGGAAAUGUUAAAACAGGUGCGUGAGCCUGUGAGCAAUAGAAGCUGUGCCACUCUGUGUUUUCACAUUAAGUCAGUAGAUGGAUGUAUCUGUGACAGAUUUCCACUGGGAGCAUUAAAUCUGUCUCAUGUCAUCUUCCCCUAGCUGCUUAUUGAAAAGGAGAAGCCCACGCUCCCAGGUGUGUGCUGCCACGUCCUCCUGGUGCUGCCUGUCACCACCACUGGGACUGGGGCUCAGGCACAUUUCAUUUACACAACCAACCGGCUGAGGCUGAGGCCACGGAUGAGGUCGGAGGCCACAGCUGAGGCUGAGGCCACGGCUGAGGCCACGGCUGAGGCCACGGCUGAGGCCACGGCUGAGGCCAAGGCUGAGGCCCCGGAUGAGGCCGGAGGCUGAGGCCGGAGGCUGAGGCCCCGGAUGAGGCCGGAGGCUGAGGCCGGAGGCUGAGGCCACGGCUGAGGCCACGGCUGAGGCUGAGGCCAAGGCUGAGGCUGAGGCCACGGCUGCAGCUCGGCUUCCUGAAGUCUCGACCACAGCACCUAAUAUCAGAACCGGACCCGAACCUGGGGAUGUCUGUAAACGACGUCGUCACUUGACCUUUGACCUUUGUUGUUGUAAAUGAAGCGGUUUCUUAGCAUUCAGUUAGUGAUCACGUUACGUUAGUUGUCCGACGUAGCGGAACUGUGGAUCAAACGUGUUUGUUUGCCUCAGACAAAAAGACCAAUGCUUCUAAUUAAAACCAGGAUGCUUCUCUACUCCCAGCAGCUGAAUCAUUCAGACAAACAGGUUUGUUUUCGCGUAUCUGCUGAUUCUGGCUGGAGGCAGCUUCACAAAGAGUAGCUGAGUUUUUAUCAGCAGCAGCUCAGCUGCCGCUGGUCGAUACGAGGGACCCGACCAUGAGUCCAGUCGUAAAACCUAAAUGAACCUGGUGCUUCCAGUAAACAGACAGCAGCGCUAACACGUUAGCAUUACGCACCCAUGAGCAGAAACUCAUGACUUGAAGUUAGUUGUUUCUGACGGGACAAAUAUGAUGGGAACACGUUCCCAUAGUAACAGCAGUGGGCUUGAUAUGAAAUAUGCUCUAUGUGAAAAUGAUGAAUGAUAUCAUUAGAGCCUUGUUUCUCACAAAAACAGAAUUCAGUUGAAUGAAAUGAAAAAAACAAAAAGACUCGGAACAAAGAUUUAACACUUAGACCUGGUGAGGCGUGGUUCUGGUUCAGGUCCAGAGCUUGAGCUGACGCUGGAGCGUAGCCGUAAACUUUAAGUAACCUUGGCUUUUAAACAGUGUCAGUGUAGAUCAGUGCUGCUCCCAGAACCAGAACCAGAACCAGAAUUAGGCUUGUGUUAUCUGCAGCAGUGACACAAUGCACCAUCGCUUCUGAGCCCUGAAUAUCAAGGUCAAAGAGGCUGGAGUCAUUUACCUCCCUGCAGGGGAGGAGUGAUAGUGAGGAGACGGAGACAGAAGAGGAGGUGAGGGGAGGCAACGACACCAACUCUAUCUGGCGACGCAGGAGAUCGGUGCAGCAAGAGCUUCGCUGCUGCGUCAGACGUCGCAGUGAAACAGGAUCACAACAUUCAGGUGGCGUCUCCAUCCGUCUCCUCCCGGAGCCCUCACAUGCAGAUAGUGGCUGCAGCAUCGGCGCCAGGCGUGAGCACACAUUCGUCUCUGUAAUGGUUCCUGCGCUUACGUUUAUCUGGAAAGAAGACAAACGACUGAUGUGUUUUAGCAGCUUUCCUCUAGAACUUUCUUCUUCUUCUCAGGGCUCCACGUGCACGGCUCAGUUCUCUUCCACCCUCUGCUCUUCUUCUACAGCCUCUGCGUUCACUGCGUGUUCAAAUAAAUUGAAGGAAGAGUUGAGAUGACGCUGAACUCUGCUGUCUCCAAAUGCUGUCUGUGAAGCCUCUGUAAAACUCGCUCUUCUUUCUUUAACCUCCUCCUCCUAAUUCCUGCAGCACUUGGCUCAUGCGAAUUUAAAUAUUCACCAAAAUAGAAAGUCAAGAUUAAAAGGUGAGGCUGCAAACAGGCCGCUGUGUCAGGAUCCUGGGCUGGUUCUGCCAGCCACCCUCUUGUUUUUACCCUGGACUACACCUUCUCCAUCAGCAGGCCACGCCUUUUCUCUUAGCAGGCCAAGCCUCUGCUUUGGGCCACGCCUUCUCCAUCAGCAGGCCACGCCUCUGCUUUGGACCACACCUUUUCUCUUAGCAGGCCACGCGUCUGCUUUGGACCACGCCUUCUCCAUC